This 2903-nucleotide ribosomal RNA is filed under the name Shigella flexneri VA-6. RNAcentral describes it as "bacterial LSU rRNA". It matches the Rfam family "Bacterial large subunit ribosomal RNA". Lineage: Bacteria; Pseudomonadati; Pseudomonadota; Gammaproteobacteria; Enterobacterales; Enterobacteriaceae. The record is from RNAcentral.
UUAAGCGACUAAGCGUACACGGUGGAUGCCCUGGCAGUCAGAGGCGAUGAAGGACGUGCUAAUCUGCGAUAAGCGUCGGUAAGGUGAUAUGAACCGUUAUAACCGGCGAUUUCCGAAUGGGGAAACCCAGUGUGAUUCGUCACACUAUCAUUAACUGAAUCCAUAGGUUAAUGAGGCGAACCGGGGGAACUGAAACAUCUAAGUACCCCGAGGAAAAGAAAUCAACCGAGAUUCCCCCAGUAGCGGCGAGCGAACGGGGAGCAGCCCAGAGCCUGAAUCAGUGUGUGUGUUAGUGGAAGCGUCUGGAAAGGCGUGCGAUACAGGGUGACAGCCCCGUACACAAAAAUGCACAUACUGUGAGCUCGAUGAGUAGGGCGGGACACGUGGUAUCCUGUCUGAAUAUGGGGGGACCAUCCUCCAAGGCUAAAUACUCCUGACUGACCGAUAGUGAACCAGUACCGUGAGGGAAAGGCGAAAAGAACCCCGGCGAGGGGAGUGAAAAAGAACCUGAAACCGUGUACGUACAAGCAGUGGGAGCACGCUUAGGCGUGUGACUGCGUACCUUUUGUAUAAUGGGUCAGCGACUUAUAUUCUGUAGCAAGGUUAACCGAAUAGGGGAGCCGAAGGGAAACCGAGUCUUAACUGGGCGUUAAGUUGCAGGGUAUAGACCCGAAACCCGGUGAUCUAGCCAUGGGCAGGUUGAAGGUUGGGUAACACUAACUGGAGGACCGAACCGACUAAUGUUGAAAAAUUAGCGGAUGACUUGUGGCUGGGGGUGAAAGGCCAAUCAAACCGGGAGAUAGCUGGUUCUCCCCGAAAGCUAUUUAGGUAGCGCCUCGUGAAUUCAUCUCCGGGGGUAGAGCACUGUUUCGGCAAGGGGGUCAUCCCGACUUACCAACCCGAUGCAAACUGCGAAUACCGGAGAAUGUUAUCACGGGAGACACACGGCGGGUGCUAACGUCCGUCGUGAAGAGGGAAACAACCCAGACCGCCAGCUAAGGUCCCAAAGUCAUGGUUAAGUGGGAAACGAUGUGGGAAGGCCCAGACAGCCAGGAUGUUGGCUUAGAAGCAGCCAUCAUUUAAAGAAAGCGUAAUAGCUCACUGGUCGAGUCGGCCUGCGCGGAAGAUGUAACGGGGCUAAACCAUGCACCGAAGCUGCGGCAGCGACGCUUAUGCGUUGUUGGGUAGGGGAGCGUUCUGUAAGCCUGUGAAGGUGUACUGUGAGGUAUGCUGGAGGUAUCAGAAGUGCGAAUGCUGACAUAAGUAACGAUAAAGCGGGUGAAAAGCCCGCUCGCCGGAAGACCAAGGGUUCCUGUCCAACGUUAAUCGGGGCAGGGUGAGUCGACCCCUAAGGCGAGGCCGAAAGGCGUAGUCGAUGGGAAACAGGUUAAUAUUCCUGUACUUGGUGUUACUGCGAAGGGGGGACGGAGAAGGCUAUGUUGGCCGGGCGACGGUUGUCCCGGUUUAAGCGUGUAGGCUGGUUUUCCAGGCAAAUCCGGAAAAUCAAGGCCGAGGCGUGAUGACGAGGCACUACGGUGCUGAAGCAACAAAUGCCCUGCUUCCAGGAAAAGCCUCUAAGCAUCAGGUAACAUCAAAUCGUACCCCAAACCGACACAGGUGGUCAGGUAGAGAAUACCAAGGCGCUUGAGAGAACUCGGGUGAAGGAACUAGGCAAAAUGGUGCCGUAACUUCGGGAGAAGGCACGCUGAUACGUAGGUGAAGCGACUUGCUCGUGGAGCUGAAAUCAGUCGAAGAUACCAGCUGGCUGCAACUGUUUAUUAAAAACACAGCACUGUGCAAACACGAAAGUGGACGUAUACGGUGUGACGCCUGCCCGGUGCCGGAAGGUUAAUUGAUGGGGUUAGCGCAAGCGAAGCUCUUGAUCGAAGCCCCGGUAAACGGCGGCCGUAACUAUAACGGUCCUAAGGUAGCGAAAUUCCUUGUCGGGUAAGUUCCGACCUGCACGAAUGGCGUAAUGAUGGCCAGGCUGUCUCCACCCGAGACUCAGUGAAAUUGAACUCGCUGUGAAGAUGCAGUGUACCCGCGGCAAGACGGAAAGACCCCGUGAACCUUUACUAUAGCUUGACACUGAACAUUGAGCCUUGAUGUGUAGGAUAGGUGGGAGGCUUUGAAGUGUGGACGCCAGUCUGCAUGGAGCCGACCUUGAAAUACCACCCUUUAAUGUUUGAUGUUCUAACGUGGACCCGUAUCCGGGUUGCGGACAGUGUCUGGUGGGUAGUUUGACUGGGGCGGUCUCCUCCUAAAGAGUAACGGAGGAGCACGAAGGUUGGCUAAUCCUGGUCGGACAUCAGGAGGUUAGUGCAAUGGCAUAAGCCAGCUUGACUGCGAGCGUGACGGCGCGAGCAGGUGCGAAAGCAGGUCAUAGUGAUCCGGUGGUUCUGAAUGGAAGGGCACCCUCGCUCAACGGAUAAAAGGUACUCCGGGGAUAACAGGCUGAUACCGCCCAAGAGUUCAUAUCGACGGCGGUGUUUGGCACCUCGAUGUCGGCUCAUCACAUCCUGGGGCUGAAGUAGGUCCCAAGGGUAUGGCUGUUCGCCAUUUAAAGUGGUACGCGAGCUGGGUUUAGAACGUCGUGAGACAGUUCGGUCCCUAUCUGCCGUGGGCGCUGGAGAACUGAGGGGGGCUGCUCCUAGUACGAGAGGACCGGAGUGGACGCAUCACUGGUGUUCGGGUUGUCAUGCCAAUGGCACUGCCCGGUAGCUAAAUGCGGAAGAGAUAAGUGCUGAAAGCAUCUAAGCACGAAACUUGCCCCGAGAUGAGUUCUCCCUGACCCUUUAAGGGUCCUGAAGGAACGUUGAAGACGACGACGUUGAUAGGCCGGGUGUGUAAGCGCAGCGAUGCGUUGAGCUAACCGGUACUAAUGAACCGUGAGGCUUAACCUU